GAUGAACGCUAGCGGGAGGCCUAACACAUGCAAGCCGAGCGGUAUUGUUUCUUCGGAAAUGAGAGAGCGGCGUACGGGUGCGUAACACGUGUGCAACCUGCCUUUAUCUGGGGGAUAGCCUUUCGAAAGGAAGAUUAAUACUCCAUAAUAUAUUGAACGGCAUCGUUUAAUAUUGAAAGCUCCGGCGGAUAGAGAUGGGCACGCGCAAGAUUAGCUAGUUGGUGAGGUAACGGCUCACCAAGGCGAUGAUCUUUAGGGGGCCUGAGAGGGUGAUCCCCCACACUGGUACUGAGACACGGACCGGACUCCUACGGGAGGCAGCCGUGAGGAAUAUUGGUCAAUGGGUGCAAGCCUGAACCAGCCAUCCCGCGUGAAGGACGACUGCCCUAUGGGUUGUAAACUUCUUUUGUAUAGGGAUAAACCUACCCUCGUGAGGGUAGCUGAAGGUACUAUACGAAUAAGCACCGGCUAACUCCGUGCCAGCAGCCGCCGUAA
RNAcentral lists this ribosomal RNA (495 nucleotides) under uncultured bacterium. RNAcentral describes it as "partial 16S ribosomal RNA". It matches the Rfam family "Bacterial small subunit ribosomal RNA", at positions 28 to 523 of the family's 1533-position model. The record is from RNAcentral.